This 253-nucleotide ribosomal RNA is filed under the name uncultured bacterium. Its description in RNAcentral is "partial 16S ribosomal RNA". It matches the Rfam family "Bacterial small subunit ribosomal RNA", at positions 524 to 776 of the family's 1533-position model. The record is from RNAcentral.
GACGAGGGAUCCUAGCGUUGUUCGGAAUCAUUGGGCGUAAAGCGGGUGUAGGUGGCUUUGUAAGUCAGAUGUGAAAUCCCUGGGCUUAACCCAGGACGUGCAUUUGAUACUGCAGAGCUUGAGUGUGGGAGAGGCUAGUGGAAUUCCUGGUGUAGUGGUGAAAUACGUAGAUAUCAGGAGGAACAUCGGUGGCGAAGGCGGCUAGCUGGCCCAACACUGACACUGAGAUCCGAAAGCGUGGGGAUCAAACAGG